Molecule: transfer RNA, 75 nt
Filed under: Paracontias hildebrandti
Lineage: Eukaryota; Metazoa; Chordata; Lepidosauria; Squamata; Scincidae
Description: tRNA-Leu
Rfam family: tRNA
About the family: Transfer RNA (tRNA) molecules are approximately 80 nucleotides in length.
Source: RNAcentral
AUUAGGGUGGCAGAGCCAGGUAAAUGCAAAAGGCCUAAGACCUUCACCCCAGAUGUUCAAAUCCUCUCCCUAACA